RNAcentral lists this ribosomal RNA (484 nucleotides) under uncultured bacterium. Its description in RNAcentral is "partial 16S ribosomal RNA". It matches the Rfam family "Bacterial small subunit ribosomal RNA", at positions 29 to 507 of the family's 1533-position model. The record is from RNAcentral.
AUUGAACGCUGGCGGCAUGCUUUACACAUGCAAGUCGAACGGCAGCGCGGGCUUCGGCCUGGUGGCGAGUGGCGAACGGGUGAGUAAUGCAUCGGAACGUGCCCAGCAGUGGGGGAUAGCCCGGCGAAAGCCGGAUUAAUACCGCAUACGACCUGAGGGUGAAAGCGGGGGAUCGAAAGGCCUCGCGCUACUUGAUCGGCCGAUGUCGGAUUAGCUAGUUGGUGGGGUAAAGGCUUACCAAGGCGACGAUCCGUAGCUGAUCUGAGAGGACGACCAGCCACACUGGAACUGAGACACGGCCCAGACUCCUACGGGAGGCAGCAGUGGGGAAUUUUGGACAAUGGGGGCAACCCUGAUCCAGCCAUGCCGCGUGCGGGAAGAAGGCCUUCGGGUUGUAAACCGCUUUUGUUCGGGAAGAAAACCUCUGGGCUAAUACCCCGGGGGGAUGACGGUACCGGAAGAAUAAGCACCGGCUAACUACGUG